UAGCAGGGGUAAAGGAGCUAGUUCGGCCAGAAAACUAAAAAACAGGGAAGCUAGAAAAUGGAGAAAAAUGAACGAAAACUCGUUUCGAUGAAGAAUUAGCGAUGGAUCAUAGAUCUGUUGAACCAAUUCCAAGCUAUGUCGGAAUCUGAUCCUCUCAUGUGAGUGAUUCACGUUAUUUCAAAAUUUAGAUCCUUUUUUUUUUCUUUUUGUUUAUGAAAUUAUAUACAGAUUUAUCAUUUUAACUUCUGGAUCAUAUUUGGAAAUUAAUAUUCCAUUGUGUUUAAUUACUGAUAAAAUAAACAAAAAAAUUAUAAAAUAAAUCUUGUUGCAUUAAUUUAGUUAGAAGAAUUAUGUGAAGAUUUAUUUAGGGUUACCGGAACAUAUUUUAUUUUCCCGGUAUUAAAUUUUAAUCCCAUAAAUUUAAUAAUUACUUUUUCAUGCAACUAUGUCUGUAUACCUUGCAACUAUGUCUGUAUACCUCAAUUUGCAGCGGCUAGGAAACAAGAAGGUGACAAGUGACAACUCUACUUGGGGUGUUGAAAACUAAAUUCUAAGGCAGAUUCAUGCAAAUAUACACUCUCUUUUGUCAGUCUUUAUCAACUAGAAAGAAUAAUACAUAUGCUGUACAUGCUUUGGCAUUGCCAUUAAUGACCAUUGAUAUUUUAUGAAACACUUGUAUGUGUGAUGCCAUUAAUGUUAGAAAAGGGUUAAGGGGUUUUUGUAAGGAAUUAGGCACUUGUUCUUUGUAAUUUCAUUGCCUUUUUUUUUUUUUUAUCAAAUGCAGUCUAGGUAUGUGUGUAGAGUCCAAUUCAACUAUUCUUUCAAUCCUUAAAAUGUUUAAGUUUAUAAUGUUUAUUUUUCUCAGGCUCUAUGGUUUCAUCGUUGUUUCCUUUCCCUUCAUUUGAUGCGGCAGUUGAUAACUUUUGAUGGUAUUUGGUGCCGUUCUGAGCAGAAAACCAGCUAGGGUAAUGAAAUCAAUAUCUUUUUGGACAAUGAAUUAUGUCUCCUGGAUUUCGUAGAACAAGCAAUGUCUUCAGCAGUUUACUUUUUAUGGUUGAUGAAGGUAAUUGUAACAAAAUUGCUUAAAUUAUAUGGAGAUUGAACUGUAAGUGAAGCUGAAAUUUGGAAAUUUGAAGACCAUAUAUCACAUAAGACAUCUUCAGAAGAUCUUUCCUUUGGGAUUUUUCAGACCUCGGAAGCUUUUAAUGAACAUAUACAUCCGAAUUAGUUCAUCUUUGUUAAAUAUUAACUAUUUCAUAACGUAUCUCCAUGACUAUUUUAUGUGGCUUUCGUUAAAUUAUAUGUUCAAAUUGGAUUGAGGUACUGAAAAGUAGUCUCUAAUUGCACUUUUUCCAAUGUUUGGGGAGUAUUUUAUUGACAAGAAGGUGACAAAUAAUGUUAUGGUGAUUGUAACUUCCAAGGAUGCAUCGUCAUGUUUUCAAGCUUUUGUGGAGAUCAGGAUACCCUGAGGAUAAGGUAAGCUGUUAUACAUUUAAGAAAUGUCUGAUCAUCCCUUCUCUGCCUAGGUCCUAGAAAGAAACUUGUAUCUGAAAAAACUGGGGGCAAACUAUUUUACCCGGAUUUAGGGGCAAGUAUACAAUACGGGUAUACUCAAUGUUUAGUAUUUUUCGUUUCAUAUAUUUAGAAAAUCACGUCUCGAUACUCAUGCUCAUAUAGUUUCAAAUACAGACAUUGGAAUGAAGAGUUUGAGUAACAUAGGAAGCAACCGCUGGCAAAACUGGAGUUUGCUGAUUGGGUAUGGAAGCUUUCAGCUUUCUAUCACAUAUGUUUUGUUUUUGGGUCUACUUAUGCUCCCACUCUCUAUACCUUUAGCACACAUGAAAUUUAAUCACUUUACUUUUAAUACCAAGAAUCCAGUUAUUCGAUUCUUUUGAUUUAAUAAUUGUAAUGGCCAAUAUUACAUGUGUGAAAGGCUGGAUAAACAAAUAAAAACAUUAACUUUGGGGUUGUGAGGUUUUUUAUUCUAAAUCUAGGGUUGUAAGGCUUUUAGCAUUGUUUCAGAGAAGCAUGAUGCAAGUUAAUAUUUUUGUUGCGAACAAUUAGUUUUUGUCACAUAAUCCAAUUUAACAGAAUGUAUUAUUGAUUAGACUUCAGUUAUUAGUUAUAAUGAGAAGGACUAGAUUUUAAUUAUAUGAAGAGUAUAAAGAUUGGGAGCAUAAUUAGACCUUAUUUUUUUUCAGGUCCAGAACAUAUGAUUUGGGAGUUUAUAGUCUCCUUUUAAAUAGAAACGUUAUCUUCCCAUUCCUUUUAAUGGCCUACCAAAUUGAAGCCAUGGAAUAUUAGCCAGUUCUUUAGAAAUAAUAUGAUUGCUUUCGUUGUCGAGUGGAGCCACUCAUCUCAUUCACCAUUCCUCACUGUAAUAUAAUGCAGUAAAUGUAAAGGCAUGUAGUAACAAAUGUUGUCGAGUGGGCUUCUCUUUGCUUGAGAUUAGCUCAAGUAAUCGAUGUUGGAAUUUUUUUUAAUGAAAACUGACAUUCUUAUUUCAGAGAGCAAUUGUUUAUAAAUUCUUAAUAAAAUCAAGGAAGGAUCGAUUCCAUGGGUUGAUUUCUUUUCCAUGAAAUCUUGAAUUCGAGGACCCAAGGCCACUCAUUGGUGUUAUCCAAAUUGCAAGUCCCCAUCAAAGCCAAUGAUGA
RNAcentral lists this long non-coding RNA (2654 nucleotides) under Gossypium barbadense (sea-island cotton). RNAcentral's name for it is "long non-coding RNA (GBAR_LNC010770)". Lineage: Eukaryota; Viridiplantae; Streptophyta; Magnoliopsida; Malvales; Malvaceae. The record is from RNAcentral.